AGUAACGCGUGAGCAAUCUGCCUUUAGAUGGGGGAUAACAGCCGGAAACGGCUGCUAAUACCGCAUAAUGCAACGGGACCGCAUGGUUCUGCUGCCAAAGAUUUAUUGUCCAAAGAUGAGCUCGCGUCUGAUUAGCCAGUUGGCGGGGUAACGGCCCACCAAAGCGACGAUCAGUAGCCGGACUGAGAGGUUGAACGGCCACAUUGGGACUGAGACACGGCCCAGACUCCUACGGAAGGCAGCAG
This 245-nucleotide ribosomal RNA is filed under the name uncultured bacterium. RNAcentral's name for it is "partial 16S ribosomal RNA". It matches the Rfam family "Bacterial small subunit ribosomal RNA", at positions 109 to 354 of the family's 1533-position model. The record is from RNAcentral.